AUGAACGCUGGCGGCGUGCUUAACACAUGCAAGUCGAACGGUGAAAGCGGAGCUUGCUCCGCUGGAUCAGUGGCGAACGGGUGAGUAACACGUGAGCAACCUGCCCCGGACUCUGGGAUAACAGCUGGAAACAGCUGCUAAUACCGGAUACGAGCUGCGAAGGCAUCUUCUGCAGCUGGAAAGAACUUCGGUCCGGGAUGGGCUCGCGGCCUAUCAGCUAGUUGGUGAGGUAACGGCUCACCAAGGCGUCGACGGGUAGCCGGCCUGAGAGGGUGACCGGCCACACUGGGACUGAGACACGGCCCAGACUCCUACGGGAGGCAGCAGUGGGGAAUAUUGCACAAUGGGCGCAAGCCUGAUGCAGCAACGCCGCGUGAGGG
RNAcentral lists this ribosomal RNA (380 nucleotides) under Microbacteriaceae bacterium ACTS40. RNAcentral's name for it is "bacterial SSU rRNA". It matches the Rfam family "Bacterial small subunit ribosomal RNA", at positions 29 to 407 of the family's 1533-position model. Lineage: Bacteria; Bacillati; Actinomycetota; Actinomycetes; Micrococcales; Microbacteriaceae. The record is from RNAcentral.